UACGUAGGUGGCAAGCGUUAUCCGGAAUUAUUGGGCGUAAAGCGCGCGCAGGUGGUUUCUUAAGUCUGAUGUGAAAGCCCACGGCUCAACCGUGGAGGGUCAUUGGAAACUGGGAGACUUGAGUGCAGAAGAGGAAAGUGGAAUUCCAUGUGUAGCGGUGAAAUGCGUAGAGAUAUGGAGGAACACCAGUGGCGAAGGCGGCUCUCUGGGACGGUACUGACGCUGAGACGCGAAAGCGUGGGGAGCGAACAGG
Molecule: ribosomal RNA, 253 nt
Filed under: uncultured bacterium
Lineage: Bacteria
Description: partial 16S ribosomal RNA
Rfam family: Bacterial small subunit ribosomal RNA
Source: RNAcentral